Molecule: long non-coding RNA, 1291 nt
Filed under: Piliocolobus tephrosceles (Ugandan red Colobus)
Lineage: Eukaryota; Metazoa; Chordata; Mammalia; Primates; Cercopithecidae
Description: lncRNA (ENSPTEG00000022808.1)
Source: RNAcentral
AUGCCGGGCUUGCCUGGCCCGGCCGGGCCGGGUCCGGGGCGGCCUCGCUGCCGGGGCAGGGACCUCGCAGGCCGGCGCGCAGAGGCGAGGAGCCCUCCCGGCGCCAUCGACUCACCUACCCGCGGAGAGGCGACGGCGCGCGCCGCUCACCAGCCCGGGGCCCAGAUCCGAGAAGGAGGGGCAGCGGCGCGGAGACCUGGUGGCGGUUGGCGGGACUGCGGGUUUGACAGAUGGGUUGGCAGCUGUGAAGAUGGACUUCCUGCCAGUGGUAUCCGGGUCCCACUGUUCUAAUGGAAAUGCCAGGUGUACUGGAUGUUCCUCAAGCCACAGCAAUGCCUCUGGGCCUUACCGCUUAAGGAGUGGGCCUCGGGUCACCUGGACAGGAAGCGCAUCAAGGGUGGGGAACUCAUCUCUCUCCAGCCUUUGAUGCUGUGAUACUCAGUGUGCCUUAAGGAUGGUUUGGGUUUUGAACCGUAGAUGGAGGUAGGAAUGGGUGUUGGUGGGCGGGGUGGGGGUGGGGGUGGGGGAACAGAAACCUUAAAAAGGCAACACUGAGCUUUUAAGUAGAAGAGGCCAAGCAGUCUCGCCCAGAAGCUGAUGUUUGUGAAUGCACUGGGCCUUCUAAAGCGGCGCUUCGCACACCUUUUCACUUCUUGGCAGAGGUAGGAAAGGAUAUUACAAGGCUCAAAAUGGGGGUAAACAGAAGAGGCUGCUCCUGCAGAAGGCGAAUGGGCCCUUGCACCUGGAGGACUGAGAAGACCCAUGCUGUGUCUGCAUCCCUGUCAUUCGUUUCAUGGCAUCCAGUUGGGAAGCUCUGCUUAAAGCUCUAUCUGGCACUUUUUCUUAGCUACAUUUCUCCACACUAGCUGAGACUGCCUCACUGAGUUGUCAACACUUGGUCCUCUUCAGCAGUGAGGAACCACCAAGAAACGAGGCUGAGGCAGUACUCAACUUGUCAAACUCCAGGAAAUGGUGCUUAAAACGUUUAGCUUCUUGAAUGGAACUCAUGGUACUGCUCCUAGCCUGCCCCUGGGGUCUCCAACUUGACACAGUUUCUCCCCGCAUCCUCCCACCCUUCUCUAGCAAGUGGGCUGCUUCUACUUUCUUUCUCACAUUCAUUUCUUAGGUCCAUUCUCAGAGCUGGUUAGGGUUAUUGUUUAAUUAGCCUCAUAAUCAUAUCUAUGAUGGCAAAAUCAAGAAACAAUUUAAACAUGAUUCUUAAAAGUAAGGAGAUAAAUACCAGAGACAUAGAAGGUGAAAGAAUUUGCCUCUAGGAAGCAGGAAUUUAAAU